GUGCUUGGGCGAGAGUAGUACUAGGAUGGGUGACCCCCUGGGAAGUCCUCGUGUUGCACCCCCCCCGGGGAAAGUGACGAAAGGAAACGCGCGUACGAGUGAACAUGGCUUACAAAAUCCGAUAAUCGUAACAUUUUGGAAUAAAGGAGUAAAAAGGGAAAAGGCCCC
RNAcentral lists this ribosomal RNA (168 nucleotides) under Polyscias maralia. Lineage: Eukaryota; Viridiplantae; Streptophyta; Magnoliopsida; Apiales; Araliaceae. The record is from RNAcentral.